GUGAGGAAUUUUGCGCAAUGGGGGCAACCCUGACGCAGCGACGCCGCGUGGAGGACGAAGUCUUUCGGGAUGUAAACUCCUGUCAGUGGGGACGAUAAUGACGGUACCCACAGAGGAAGCACCGGCUAACUCCGUGCCAGCAGCCGCGGUAAGACGGAGGGUGCAAGCGUUGUUCGGAAUUACUGGGCGUAAAGCGUAUGUAGGCGGCAAGUUAAGUUCAAUGUUAAAGCCCACGGCUCAACCGAGGAGAUGCAUUGAAUACUGGCUAGCUAGAGGGUGUUAGAGGAAGACGGAAUUCCCAGUGUAGCGGUGAAUUGCGUAGAUAUUGGGAGGAACAUCGGUAGCGAAAGCGGUCUUCUGGGACAUACCUGACGCUGAGGUACGAAAGCGUGGGGAGCAAACGGGAUUAGAAACCCUGGUAGUCC
RNAcentral lists this ribosomal RNA (425 nucleotides) under uncultured bacterium. RNAcentral describes it as "bacterial SSU rRNA". It matches the Rfam family "Bacterial small subunit ribosomal RNA", at positions 354 to 796 of the family's 1533-position model. The record is from RNAcentral.